Long non-coding RNA from Danaus plexippus (monarch butterfly), 595 nucleotides. RefSeq lists it as uncharacterized. The record is from RefSeq and is a predicted model, not a curated record. Lineage: Eukaryota; Metazoa; Arthropoda; Insecta; Lepidoptera; Nymphalidae. The transcript has 3 exons.
UUUUACGUUGAAACAUUUAAAAAGCGGUUGUAUUUUUUUAAAAGGAAUUGUAUCGUCGUAUGAUCAGUAUAGAGAUAUUGAAAAUUAACGGUUUUGCUCAACACAAACAUGAUCUUGAAUAUUUGUCUUCUAAUUAAUAUCUUGGUAAAAACAUUAGUGGUCAGCUCUUUUGUGCCAUUAAUAUACUUCACCGAUGGACUCAAUACUAAGUUAUAUCAUUCAGAAUAUAAAUUAUUGAACAGGAAAAUGGGUGCGUACCCAUUCGUCGAAGUCGGUCCGGGGUCCUUCAAGACACAGCACAAAAAAUUAGAUCCAGAAAUUUUAACACAGCGAUAUAAAAAGUUACUCACUAUCAAGAAAAACAUGGAAAAGAAAUCAUAACUUAGGUUUCAAGGCUAUCAGAUAGAUUUUAAUGUUUGUUUUAAUGUUAUUAGAAUUCGAUAAAUAUUAAAAUUAAUUAAAGUAUCGCUCAUUUUCCGUAAGACAAGGUUUUAUAAAUCUAUUUUAAUUAUAUUGUUAUUGUUUUUAAAGCAGUCUUCUUGCAGAUAAAACUAACGGUUUUGUUUUAUAAUAAAAUUUUGUCAGUCACAAAGAU